This 409-nucleotide RNase P RNA is filed under the name Cytophagaceae bacterium. RNAcentral's name for it is "RNase P RNA component class A". It matches the Rfam family "Bacterial RNase P class A". Rfam says of the family: Ribonuclease P (RNase P) is a ubiquitous endoribonuclease, found in archaea, bacteria and eukarya as well as chloroplasts and mitochondria. Lineage: Bacteria; Pseudomonadati; Bacteroidota; Cytophagia; Cytophagales; Cytophagaceae. The record is from RNAcentral.
GAAAUAAGCCAUCUUAUCGCUCUGAAUCCGCAAGGAUCGGAGAGGAAAGUCCGGGCAACACAGAGCAUCGUACUUCCUAACGGGAAGGCGCUGAUUGGGCGACGAAUCAGCGACAGACAGGGCCACAGAAAACAAACCGCCCCGAGCAAUCGGGGUCAGGGUGAAAAGGUAGGGUAAGAGCCUACCGCUCCGGCGGCGACGACGGGGGCACGGUAACCCUUACGAGUUGAAAGACCAAAUAGGCUGGUGAUUCAGGCAACUGAUGAAGGGCGGCUCGUCCGGUGCCAGCGGGUAGGUUGAUGGAGGCGACGGGCGACCGUCGUCCCAGAUAAAUGAUAAGACGUGGCCGUGAACAGAUUUCUCUGCGAAUGGUCACCGACAGAACCCGGCUUACCGGCUUAUUUUUUUU